UACGGGAGGCAGCAGUAGGGAAUCUUCCACAAUGGACGCAAGUCUGAUGGAGCAACGCCGCGUGAGUGAAGAAGGGUUUCGGCUCGUAAAGCUCUGUUGGUAGUGAAGAAAGAUAGAGGUAGUAACUGGCCUUUAUUUGACGGUAAUUACCUAGAAAGUCACGGCUAACUACGUGCCAGCAGCCGCGGUAAUACGUAGGUGGCAAGCGUUGUCCGGAUUUAUUGGGCGUAAAGCGAGUGCAGGCGGUUCAAUAAGUCUGAUGUGAAAGCCUUCGGCUCAACCGGAGAAUUGCAUCAGAAACUGUUGAACUUGAGUGCAGAAGAGGAGAGUGGAACUCCAUGUGUAGCGGUGGAAUGCGUAGAUAUAUGGAAGAACACCAGUGGCGAAGGCGGCUCUCUGGUCUGCAACUGACGCUGAGGCUCGAAAGCAUG
Molecule: ribosomal RNA, 431 nt
Filed under: uncultured bacterium
Lineage: Bacteria
Description: bacterial SSU rRNA
Rfam family: Bacterial small subunit ribosomal RNA
Source: RNAcentral